RNAcentral lists this ribosomal RNA (497 nucleotides) under uncultured bacterium. Its description in RNAcentral is "partial 16S ribosomal RNA". It matches the Rfam family "Bacterial small subunit ribosomal RNA", at positions 28 to 507 of the family's 1533-position model. The record is from RNAcentral.
GACGAACGCUGGCGGCGUGCCUAAUACAUGCAAGUAGAACGCUGAAGAGAGGAGCUUCCUCUUCUUGGAUGAGUUGCGAACGGGUGAGUAACGCGUAGGUAACCUGCCUUGUAGCGGGGGAUAACUAUUGGAAACGAUAGCUAAUACCGCAUAACAAUGGAUGACACAUGUCAUUUAUUUGAAAGGGGCAAUUGCUCCACUACAAGAUGGACCUGCGUUGUAUUAGCUAGUAGGUGAGGUAAUGGCUCACCUAGGCGACGAUACAUAGCCGACCUGAGAGGGUGAUCGGCCACACUGGGACUGAGACACGGCCCAGACUCCUACGGGAGGCAGCAGUAGGGAAUCUUCGGCAAUGGGGGCAACCCUGACCGAGCAACACCGCGUGAGUGAAGAAGGUUUUCGGAUCGUAAAGCUCUGUUGUAAGUCAAGAACGGGUGUGAGAGUGGAAAGUUCACACUGUGACGGUAGCUUACCAGAAAGGGACGGCUAACUACGUG